CUGCAGACUUUUCCAGCGAGGCCGAUCCUGCUGUGGUUCUGUCCUUUCCUGUUCUGUCUGCUAGAGAACCGAGGGGCAGUUUGAGGCCCGGCUGUGGUUGCACACGGCAGGGUUAUAGGUUCUCCCCUGACACGG
Small nucleolar RNA from Kryptolebias marmoratus (mangrove rivulus), 135 nucleotides. NCBI's taxonomy places the organism in Eukaryota, Metazoa, Chordata, Actinopteri, Cyprinodontiformes, Rivulidae. The record is from Ensembl.